AUGGAUGCAAUGGCAAGAGAAUUUUGGGAGAUGAAAAGAAUGGAGAUCAUGCUCCGGAGGAAGAUGGAGCUCCAAAAUCUUAUGGCCGGUGGUGGUGUUGGCUUUGGAGGGGGCUUUUCUUUCGGCAAUGGUGGUGGUGGCUUCCGCAUGGGUGGAGGAGGUGGCUUCGCCAUCGGAGGUGGUGGUGACCUCGUCAUGGGUGGUGGUGGCGGUGAUGUUGGCUUCGGCAUGGAAGGUGGUUCUUUUGCAAGGCAAGUGAAUGGUUGUGAUGGUGGUCGUGCUCAAAUCCUCGGUCCAAGUGAAUGGUGGUGA
RNAcentral lists this ribosomal RNA (312 nucleotides) under Triticum aestivum (bread wheat). Its description in RNAcentral is "partial small subunit ribosomal RNA". The record is from RNAcentral. Lineage: Eukaryota; Viridiplantae; Streptophyta; Magnoliopsida; Poales; Poaceae.